Cavia aperea (Brazilian guinea pig) is the source of this 191-nucleotide small nuclear RNA. Its record names the gene U2. It matches the Rfam family "U2 spliceosomal RNA". Rfam says of the family: U2 is a small nuclear RNA (snRNA) component of the spliceosome (involved in pre-mRNA splicing). Complementary binding between U2 snRNA (in an area lying towards the 5' end but 3' to hairpin I) and the branchpoint sequence (BPS) of the intron results the bulging out of an unpaired adenosine, on the BPS, which initiates a nucleophilic attack at the intronic 5' splice site, thus starting the first of two transesterification reactions that mediate splicing. The record is from Ensembl. NCBI's taxonomy places the organism in Eukaryota, Metazoa, Chordata, Mammalia, Rodentia, Caviidae.
AUUGUUUCUCAGCCUUUUGGCAAAGAUCAAGUGUAGUAUAUGUUCUUAUCAGUUUAGUAUCUGAUAUAUCCUCUAUUUGAUGAUAAUAUACUAAAUGGAUUUUUGGAGCUAGGUAAUGGACUAGGAGCUUUCUCUUUCCACUCCAGAGAUCAAUCUAGUAUUGAUGUUAUACUAGAAAUGAUGCAACAACA